This 452-nucleotide ribosomal RNA is filed under the name uncultured Porphyromonadaceae bacterium. RNAcentral's name for it is "partial 16S ribosomal RNA". It matches the Rfam family "Bacterial small subunit ribosomal RNA", at positions 341 to 792 of the family's 1533-position model. Lineage: Bacteria; Pseudomonadati; Bacteroidota; Bacteroidia; Bacteroidales; Porphyromonadaceae. The record is from RNAcentral.
ACGGGAGGCAGCAGUGAGGAAUAUUGGUCAAUGGACGGAAGUCUGAACCAGCCAAGUCGCGUGAAGGAAGAAGGUUCUAUGGAUUGUAAACUUCUUUUGUUCGAGGGUAAAGUGAGAGAUGUGUCUCUUAUUGCAAGUAUCGGACGAAUAAGCAUCGGCUAACUCCGUGCCAGCAGCCGCGGUAAUACGGAGGAUGCGAGCGUUAUCCGGAUUUAUUGGGUUUAAAGGGUGCGUAGGCGGAUGAUUAAGUCAGUGGUGAAAGCGUGCGGCUCAACCGCACCGAGCCAUUGAAACUGGUUAUCUUGAGUGUAACGAGGUAGGCGGAAUGUGACAUGUAGCGGUGAAAUGCAUAGAGAUGUCACAGAGCCCCGAUUGCGAAGGCAGCUUACCAGCAUACGACUGACGCUGAUGCACGAAAGCGUGGGUAUCAAACAGGAUUAGAUACCCUGGUA